RNAcentral lists this ribosomal RNA (594 nucleotides) under Dichaetomyia luteiventris. Its description in RNAcentral is "partial 12S ribosomal RNA". The stretch from base 1 to 384 matches the Rfam family "Microsporidia small subunit ribosomal RNA", at positions 779 to 1311 of the family's 1311-position model. Lineage: Eukaryota; Metazoa; Arthropoda; Insecta; Diptera; Muscidae. The record is from RNAcentral.
UAAAAAAUUUGGCGGUAUUUUAGUCUAUUCAGAGGAACCUGUUUUAUAAUCGAUAAUCCACGAUGGACCUAACUUAAAUUUGUAUUCAGUUUAUAUAUCGUCGUUAUUAAAUAUUUUAAUAGAAUGUUAAUUUUUAAAAAUUUUUUAAAAAAAUAUAUCAGAUCAAGGUGUAGCUAAUAUUUAAGUAGUAAUGGGUUACAAUAAAUUUAUUUAAAUGGAUAUAAAUUUGAAAUAUUUAUUGAAGGUGGAUUUGGUAGUAAAUUUAUAAAGAUUAUUAAAUUGACUUUAGCUCUAAAAUAUGUACACAUCGCCCGUCACUCUUAUUAUUAAGAUAAGAUAAGUCGUAACAUAGUAGAUGUACUGGAAAGUGUAUCUAGAAUGCAAUUUAAAACUUAAUUAGUAAAGUAUUUCAUUUACAUUGAAAAAAUUUUUGUGCAAAUCAAUAUAAAUUGAUUAUAUUUUAUUUAUUAAUUAAUAAAAUUAAUUAAUUAAAUUAUUAAAAAUAAUUAUAUAAUUUAUAAGUUUUAGUAUUUUAUAAAUAAAAAAUAAUUAUUAUUAUAGUUGAAUAGUAUUGUAAAAGAAUAUUGAAAUAUU